This is a long non-coding RNA of Cyprinodon tularosa, 323 nucleotides long. RefSeq lists it as uncharacterized. Lineage: Eukaryota; Metazoa; Chordata; Actinopteri; Cyprinodontiformes; Cyprinodontidae. The transcript is spliced from 3 exons. The record is from RefSeq and is a predicted model, not a curated record.
AGUAGGUGGCGGUAUGCAAGCUGUUUGCAAUCCGCCAUUCAACGUAGAAGAAGAAGUCACGACAGAGGAAAGAAAGUGGCACCGAAGAGUCGCAGAGGAAAUGUUUUUUGUUUGUUUUUUUUUACUAAAAGUUCAACCGCAUUCAUUUCAUUCAGGUGAUCUGAUGCAAUUGUGUUCCUGCGAGGCACUGGGGGUUCAAGUACAUAAUUGGCCUUGGUCGCACAGCUGAACCGCAUUGAUACAACUACCACCUACCAAAAACUGACCACCAGUCUUUGUUUUCUGUUUAAUUAACAAAAAUAAAAAUGAGUUCAUAAAAUACA